GACGGAGGGGGCUAGCGUUGUUCGGAAUUACUGGGCGUAAAGGGCGCGUAGGCGGCCUGGAAAGUCAGAUGUGAAAGCCCAGGGCUCAACCCUGGAAUUGCAUUUGAUACUGCCUGGCUGGAGGUUGAUAGAGGAGAGUGGAAUACCCAGUGUAGAGGUGAAAUUCGUAGAUAUUGGGAGGAACACCAGUGGCGAAAGCGGCUCGCUGGCUCAUAUCUGACGCUGAGGAGCGAAAGCGUGGGGAGCAAACAGG
Molecule: ribosomal RNA, 253 nt
Filed under: uncultured bacterium
Lineage: Bacteria
Description: partial 16S ribosomal RNA
Rfam family: Bacterial small subunit ribosomal RNA
Source: RNAcentral